GACGAACGCUGGCGGCGUGCCUAAUACAUGCAAGUAGAACGCUGAAGGAGGAGCUUGCUUCUCUGGAUGAGUUGCGAACGGGUGAGUAACGCGUAGGUAACCUGCCUGGUAGCGGGGGAUAACUAUUGGAAACGAUAGCUAAUACCGCAUAAGAGUAGAUGUUGCAUGACAUUUGCUUAGAAGGUGCAAUUGCAUCACUACCAGAUGGACCUGCGUUGUAUUAGCUAGUUGGUGGGGUAACGGCUCACCAAGGCGACGAUACAUAGCCGACCUGAGAGGGUGAUCGGCCACACUGGGACUGAGACACGGCCCAGACUCCUACGGGAGGCAGCAGUAGGGAAUCUUCGGCAAUGGACGGAAGUCUGACCGAGCAACGCCGCGGGAGUGAAGAAGGUUUUCGGAUCGUAAAGCUCUGUUGUAAGAGAAGAACGAGUGUGAGAGUGGAAAGUUCACACUGUGACGGUAUCUUACCAGAAAGGGACGGCUAACUACGUG
This 495-nucleotide ribosomal RNA is filed under the name uncultured bacterium. RNAcentral's name for it is "partial 16S ribosomal RNA". It matches the Rfam family "Bacterial small subunit ribosomal RNA", at positions 28 to 507 of the family's 1533-position model. The record is from RNAcentral.